Molecule: transfer RNA, 82 nt
Filed under: Rhipicephalus sanguineus (brown dog tick)
Lineage: Eukaryota; Metazoa; Arthropoda; Arachnida; Ixodida; Ixodidae
Description: transfer RNA serine (anticodon ACU)
Rfam family: tRNA
About the family: Transfer RNA (tRNA) molecules are approximately 80 nucleotides in length. Their secondary structure includes four short double-helical elements and three loops (D, anti-codon, and T loops).
Source: Rfam by way of RNAcentral
GGUGAGGUGGCUGAGCGGUUGAGGCGAUGGACUACUAAUCCAUUGGGCUCUACCCGCGUGGGUUCGAGUCCCACCCUCGUCG